AUCUACCCAUAUGUCAUUCGGUCCAAUAGCACGAAUAAUGUGCCAGUUACGUAUUUUUGAGUAAAAAGCCCGGUUCUGCUGUACGGAGGGAUAAUCCACUUAACAGGAUAUUCUGUGGGAGUAUCCCUCUUGUACACAAGUGCAUGGUGGGAAAAAUGUCCUGUAUGUUUAGUCCCCCAUGUAGUCCCCUACUGUAAUACCCCUGUAAAGUGAUUAAGGAAACCCCUUGCAUGGGGAACCAAAUAAAUACUGGAG
Non-coding RNA from Pelobates cultripes (western spadefoot toad), 255 nucleotides. The record is from the annotation of a GenBank genome assembly. NCBI's taxonomy places the organism in Eukaryota, Metazoa, Chordata, Amphibia, Anura, Pelobatidae.